UAGGGAAUCUUCCGCAAUGGGCGAAAGCCUGACGGAGCAACGCCGCGUGAGUGAUGAAGGUCUUCGGAUCGUAAAACUCUGUUAUUAGGGAAGAACAAAUGUGUAAGUAACUAUGCACGUCUUGACGGUACCUAAUCAGAAAGCCACGUCUAACUACGUGCCAGCAGCCGCGGUAAUACGUAGGUGGCAAGCGUUAUCCGGAAUUAUUGGGCGUAAAGCGCGCGUAGGCGGUUUUUUAAGUCUGAUGUGAAAGCCCACGGCUCAACCGUGGAGGAUCAUUGGAAACUGGAAAACUUGAGUGCAGAAGAGGAAAGUGGAAUUCCAUGUGUAGCGGUGAAAUGCGCAGAGAUAUGGAGGAACACCAGUGGCGAAGGCGACUUUCUGGUCUGUAACUGACGCUGAUGUGCGAAAGCGGGGGGAUCAAACAGG
This 429-nucleotide ribosomal RNA is filed under the name Actinomycetes bacterium. RNAcentral describes it as "Actinobacteria bacterium partial 16S ribosomal RNA". It matches the Rfam family "Bacterial small subunit ribosomal RNA", at positions 355 to 776 of the family's 1533-position model. The record is from RNAcentral. Lineage: Bacteria; Bacillati; Actinomycetota; Actinomycetes.